AUUGAACGCUGGCGGCAGGCCUAACACAUGCAAGUCGAGCGGAUGAAGGGAGCUUGCUCCUGGAUUCAGCGGCGGACGGGUGAGUAAUGCCUAGGAAUCUGCCUGGUAGUGGGGGAUAACGUCCGGAAACGGGCGCUAAUACCGCAUACGUCCUGAGGGUGAAAGUGGGGGAUCUUCGGACCUCACGCUAUCAGAUGAGCCUAGGUCGGAUUAGCUAGUUGGUGGGGUAAAGGCCUACCAAGGCGACGAUCCGUAACUGGUCUGAGAGGAUGAUCAGUCACACUGGAACUGAGACACGGUCCAGACUCCUACGGGAGGCAGCAGUGGGGAAUAUUGGACAAUGGGCGAAAGCCUGAUCCAGCCAUGCCGCGUGUGUGAAGAAGGUCUUCGGAUUGUAAAGCACUUUAAGUUGGGAGGAAGGGCAGUAAGUUAAAACCUUGCUGUUUUGACGUUACCAACAGAAUAAGCACCGGCUAACUUCGUG
RNAcentral lists this ribosomal RNA (484 nucleotides) under uncultured bacterium. Its description in RNAcentral is "partial 16S ribosomal RNA". It matches the Rfam family "Bacterial small subunit ribosomal RNA", at positions 30 to 507 of the family's 1533-position model. The record is from RNAcentral.